GAGGGGUGGUUUAACCAGCAAGAACUGCUAAUUCCUGCAUCUGAGUCUAGACCCUCAGCCCCCUCA
RNAcentral lists this transfer RNA (66 nucleotides) under Rhea americana (greater rhea). Its description in RNAcentral is "transfer RNA-Ser(AGY)". Lineage: Eukaryota; Metazoa; Chordata; Aves; Rheiformes; Rheidae. The record is from RNAcentral.